GUGUCAGCCGCCGCGGUAAUACGGGGGGGGCGAGCGUUGCCCGGAAUCACUGGGCUUAAAGGGGGCGUAGGCGGCCCGGCAAGUCAAGUGUGAAAUCCGGCGGCUCAACCGCUGGGCUGCGCUUGAAACUGCCGGGCCUGAGUGCAGCAGAGGGAGACGGAAUUGCCGGUGUAGGGGUGAAAUCCGUAGAUAUCGGCAAGAACGCCGGUGGGGAAGCCGGUCUCCUGGGCUGUUACUGACGCUGAGGCCCGAAAGCUGGGGGAGCGAACCGGAUUAGAUACCCGGGUAGUCCCAGCCGUAAACGAUGCUCACUAGGUGUGGGGGAGAUAAAUCCUCCGUGCUGAAGCUAACGCGCUAAGUGAGCCGCCUGGGGAGUAUGCCCGCAAGGGUGAAACUUAAAUGAAUUGACGGGG
Molecule: ribosomal RNA, 413 nt
Filed under: uncultured prokaryote
Description: bacterial SSU rRNA
Rfam family: Bacterial small subunit ribosomal RNA
Source: RNAcentral